CGAGCCGUUUGUUUGCCUAUAAUUGCCCCGUUAUUUUUAAUGUUUUUUUUUAUAAUCUCGUUCCGAUUAUAAAACACUAUUUUAUUGAGACGGAAUUUUUUUUUUUUAGAAUAUAUAAACUUUUUUCGUUUUUAUACGAAUAUUAUUCUAUAGCUGUCUCUCGAGGACUCGUCGGCUGCUGUUGCUGCAGCUUUUAGCGUAUUAAUCUUUCCGCGCGAACGACUCGACUGACACGACUGACGGGCCAAAGACAAUAUAAUCCGAGAAAACACC
Non-coding RNA from Cinara cedri, 273 nucleotides. The record is from the annotation of a GenBank genome assembly. Lineage: Eukaryota; Metazoa; Arthropoda; Insecta; Hemiptera; Aphididae.